Molecule: long non-coding RNA, 247 nt
Organism: Hylaeus anthracinus
Lineage: Eukaryota; Metazoa; Arthropoda; Insecta; Hymenoptera; Colletidae
Exons: 3
Source: RefSeq, a predicted model, not a curated record
CUCAGGUUUAAAUCAGCUGAAAGGAGGAAAAAGGAUCUCACAAUGGAAGGACACUGCGAGUUUGCGAGCCUUUAAGCUAACAGCAGAAAUGAAACUGUGUAUAUAUACAUUAACGAAUCAGCCGUUGUUCCCGUUCCUCCCUGGGUUCCCGGCCGAUACUGGCGGAGGAAGAAAAAGACACCUCGAAUAAUACGCUCCUGGAACCGGAAGAAUCUUCCGCCCAGGAGCAACUGGACCUCCAGGAGGA